Haliotis rubra (blacklip abalone) is the source of this 382-nucleotide long non-coding RNA. RefSeq lists it as uncharacterized. The record is from RefSeq and is a predicted model, not a curated record. The transcript has 3 exons. NCBI's taxonomy places the organism in Eukaryota, Metazoa, Mollusca, Gastropoda, Lepetellida, Haliotidae.
UGACGGUCGUCAUGGACACCGCUGUUAGUCUGAGUGUGGCCAAUGUAAAGGAAACCUGCCUUGUAACAAGGUCAAUGGAACAUGUCAACAAGGAUGUCGGCCAGGGUUUCAAGAACCCUUUUGUAAAGGUUGUACAGAGUGCCCGGCAACGCCAGGAUACUCAAACCAAGUAGUGCCAGUUGCAGCAACACUUGGUACACUUCUCAUCUUGGCUCUCAUCGCUCUGUUGACAUCCAUCAUUUACAUUAGAAGACUGAAGAUUCAACUGGAUGCCUCACAAAAGAAACCCGAAGACAACUACAUAUCCCUAGACGAGAGAACCAGGGAUCCAGUUGUGGAGAACACAUAUGAAUACACUGACAAUUCCAAUCCUUAUGUUAAU